Long non-coding RNA from Amphiprion ocellaris (clown anemonefish), 6709 nucleotides. The record is from Ensembl. NCBI's taxonomy places the organism in Eukaryota, Metazoa, Chordata, Actinopteri, Pomacentridae.
CAACGGCUGAACGAUGCAACAGUGUGUCUGUGCUCAACUCAGUCAACAACACGACAUGGAAGAAACCUAGUAGAAGCUGUGUUUGUGAUUUUACUUUGCAGAAAACAUGAGGAGAUCAAGAAGAGAGCCGAAUGCGGUGCUUGUGGGAUCAAAAAGCUCCCGGAAAUAUCUUGUCAGAAACAUCAUCCUGGGAAGACAGACGUUUGAUCCUUGAGAUGCAACAUCCCACUGUGAAAGAGGAGAGGGAGACUUAUGUGGGAGGAGGGUGUUGUUGGUCAAAGCUCCCAGGUGGCUGAGAGGAUAUCGACUCUGCGAUACACCUGAACUCUUCAAAACAGAGGCAAUCCUCAGCGUCACUCUGUGUCCACCUCCGCUGCAUGGUUUCAUCCUGGCAAUUAAUACCGAACUGCCUUUCAAAGACACGUACAGGAAGGCAACAAAGGAGCACUUGGAGCAUUUUUUGGGGAGAAGGUUUGGGAUCACACCAUAGUGGUCUUCAGCCACAGAGGCCAUCCAGUCCACAAAACCAUCGAAGAUCACAUCGAUUCAGAAGGGGCGCUGCUCCAAUCGCUUCUGGAGGCCUGCGGUAAAAGAUAUCACAGCCUCUGUGAUGAUGGCACCGACGACGAGGUAAAGUUCAAUAAGCUGUUUGAGAAGAUUGAUGCAAUGGUGGCAAAAAGCGGCUAUUACCAAAGUGACAGUAUGCUGGUGCAGAGUGUUGAGGAGGAAAGAAGUGGACAAAAAGGCAGAGGAGCUGCAUCUACAGGCUCAGCAGCAAAGGCGAAAACUCAGAGGUCUCCUGACAGUGAGUGAAAGUAUGACGUCCGAGAAAUCUGGAAAAGCGGAAGAAGAAGAAAUGGAGCAGCAACACGAAGUUGAUCCGUUUCUGAGCUCUUUGGAAGCAGCUACUGUAGAAGAUGCAGGAACCGACCACAUGAACCUCUGGAUGGGGCUGCUGGAGAGAGAGUGUAGCACACCAGCUGGAGACACUUCUACAGCGCUUCAUUUGAAGAUGAGAGAGCAGCCUCUGAACCAGACAGCGACGAGCUGCUGAAAUCGAGAGAAAAAGUGGCUUCGUGGCUGAAAUAAGAACCUGCUCAUCUGAGCAGCACUAGUUCAGGCUGUGAGACGCUAUCGAUCAGCAGGGAAGCAGAGCAGGAGUCGGCCUGGAUAAACUGAUUUAUUGCACUUCAUUCUGCCAGCAUGAUUGAGACAUCCGGGGUCUUAAUCAAUGGGAAAUAUCAUUUUAUUGACUACAAUCAAGAGGAAAAUAAUCAGCACUGAUGAGCUUGCAGCUGAUUAGGCUACACUGAUUAGAUUCUUCUGUCUGCUGAAACAAUACUAACACCUUCUUUUUUUAAUUGCAGAUUAUUCAUGCUGUAAUAAUUAUUAUAUCAAUGACAAAAAAGCAAAACUUCACUUGGAUGUCCUCCCGCAUUACCAAAAGAGCGCAGUUUCUUUCUCAGUUCAACCAAUUAAGGCUAUUUCUGGAUGAAAGCUUUUGAUAAUUCACAUCCUCAGCUGGAAAAAAUGUCAGUUUUGUUAUUUUGUGAUUUUAAACUCAAAUAUUUUUUUAAAAAAAAAAUAAACAUCAGCAAAAGAUGAUAAUGUGCUAUUAAUCUGACAAAAAGAACCACUCACUCACUUCUUUACACUGUUUACUCCUUUCCUUGUGAAUCUGUACAGCAGAGAUGUAUGCUAAGCUAGUGGAGAAUGUAUAUGCUGAAUACUAGAGGCUCCUGCCUGACCACAUGCACACAUUUUGUGGAGAGAAGUAGCAUGAACAACACACCAUUUCUGUUUAGAGAAAUGGUGUGUUGUUCAGAGAAAAAGUGUGCUUUCUAAAGUCCACCUGCCUGGUGAAAGUGAGCAGCCUGUAAAAAAAAAAAAAAAAGAAGUAAAUAAAGUUAACAGAAGUCCUCACCUGAGUUUCUUCCUUGCGGAGGCCAUCUUGUUUAGGAAGUUAAGAAGGGGGCACACCUCUAAAGGAGGUCUUUUAUUGGUUCACUGAGUAGGCGGGAUUUCAAAUAUGAUUGGGCUGGAGGUGCAUCCUGAUUGGUCAGUUUAAACUGAAGAGACAAGCCCCUUCUCUGUAUAUGUGAGUGUAAUAGAAGAAAAAAGGAAUAGUUUGUUCAUGAAAGCAGCAGUGUUGCUCCGCUAACUGUUGAAUGCAGUUUGUGAAAGUUUUCUUGUAAGUUUUUUUUUAAAUUCUCUUGCUAUUUCUGUUUGUUUUUCUUCCUUUUGGAGAUGUGCUGUGCCCAUUUGUCCUCCACAUACCUCCAAAGGCGACCUACAGCUCUCCUUGGAAAACAGUUACAACUCCUUUACAAGUAGAGACAUGAGAUGAGAUGAGAUGAGAUGAGAUGAGAUGAGAUGAGAUGAGAUGAGAUGAGAUGAGAUGAGAUGAGAUGAGAUGAGAUGAGAUGAGCAGUGCUACAGCAGCCAAAUACAUCUAGGAAAUGUGAUACAAAAUAAAACUAAACCAAAAUAUACAUAAGGACUCGUUAUAGAAGUAACUUUAUUGCACAUGUCAGUUGUAGUGCAUAGAUUCUUUCAUGAACAGAAAUACUGAGAGAAGUAUUAAUAUUGUAAAUAAGUAAAAAAAAUACCUGUGUAGCACAAGUUUGCACUGAAGUUGUGUCCAACCCUUUCACAUCAGCAGACCCCUCUGUGGACGUCCAGGUGCUAUAUAAGGUUUGUGUAACCCAGGUACAGUGGGACACUGCAAUAGUUUUGUUGGUCAUCAAGCAGAAAGCCUGCUCUUUAUUCGUUUUUUUCCUUGAGAUUUAGAAAAUCUUAAACGGACUUUGCAUUUUGAGCAAUUUGAACUGUUAUGCUUGUGAACUUGAAGCUUAAUGAAUUGUAUAAAUUAGAUACUUGUUAUUUUAAUUUUCAUUUUGUAAUCCUUUGUUUUAAUUGAUUGUAUUUGCUGUUUUCCUUGAUUUACAUCAAGUGUUUUGAUUUAAUACAGUUGGUUAGUUUCAGCAUCCUUUCUCUUCCUUUUGUAGGAAUUACAACUCGAGCUCCCCAGAGGAUGCAGCCAUCUCUUACACUGAGCUCCAUUUUCCUCUGGUGGAAUGCCUUAAGGUUUGGAUCAGUUACUGCAGGCCAUCCUUUGAGGAUGUAUUCAUGUACUUGUGAUAAUACAGAAUCUUUUGAGGUCCAGCUCUUUAUCUGCUUUGCACUUAUCAGUGUCUCAUCUAGUAUGUCCAUCAUUAGCACUUGCUCAGUCCUCUCCUCUUUCCUUAAUUUGACAGGGACUGGCAAUCUGCUCAACGCGUCUGCAUUUGCGUGAUGUUUGCCUGGUUUGUAGACAAUGUUGUACUGGUAUGCACUGAGUUUGACAGCCCACCUUUGUACUCUUGGUGAUCCCAUUUGAGGAAUUGGCUUCUUUUCAUUGAACAGAUAGAUCAAUGGCUUGUGAUCUGUGUAAAUUGUGAAGUUGCGACCGUACAAAUAUUUGUGAAGCUUCUCAAUUCCAAAUAUGACCGCAAGUCCUUCUUUGUCCAACUGAGAGUAUCUUGUCUCAGCAGAUUGCAAAGUACGAGAAACGAAUCCAACCGGUCUCUCACUUCCAUCUUCCAUGACGUGUGACACUACUGCACCUACUCCAUAAGGUGAAGCAUCGCAUGACAAAACUAACUCUCGGUCAGCUGAGUAGUGUACUAGAACAUCUGAUGUGUUUAGCAAGUCCUUGGCAUUUUGGAAUGCCUCUUCUUGUUCUUUAUUCCAUUUCCAGCGAACAUCAUGUCUUAACAGUUCGUGCAACAGUGCCAACCGGGUUGCCAAGUUAGGAAGGAACUUCUUGUAGUAGUUUAACAAUCCCAAGAAUGAUUUAAGCUCUGUUAUAUUUGCUGGUGCUGGCACAACUUGAAUUGCUCUGACUUUUUUAUCCACUGGGUGUAGUCCUUGUGCGUCGACUCUGUACCCCAGGUACUCCACUUCAUCCUGAAGAAAUGUGCAUUUGUUUCUCCUGAGACGUAAUCCAGUCUCUUUCAGUCUCUUUAGCACAAUGUCUAAGUUCUUGAUAUGAUCAGAUACAUCCACACCACUGACCAAAAUGUCAUCCAAAUACACUGCGACCAGGGGGAUGCCACUUAAAAGACUCUCCAUCGUUCUCUGAAAUAUGGCCGGAGCGGAGGCCACACCGAACGGUAGUCUGCUGUAGGUGAACAAACUUCUGUGCGUGUUUACUGUGAGGUAUUUCUUGGAGUCGUCAUCCAUGAGUAUUUGUUGAUAAGCGUGACUCAUAUCUAACUUCGAAAAUUGCUUACCCUUUGCAAGUGCAUUGAACAAAUCCUCUACUCUGGGUAUUGGACACUGCUCAACUGAUGACACUGUGUUUACAGUUAGUUUGUAAUCACCACAUAAUCUGACUGUGCCCACUGGUUUCAGGAUGGGUACUACUGGUGCUGCCCAUUCUGAAUACUUCACCGGUGUGAUGAUGUCCUCUUUCAGCAAUCUGUCAAUUUCCUCAUCCACUCUUGCUCUCAUGGCAUAAGGAAUCGACCUUGGACGGAAGAAGCGUGGAACAGCAUUUUCUUUCACAUGAAUAGUGGCUUUGGUGCCCUUUAAUGUGCCCAGCUCCUCCUUCAAAACUUCCUCAUGUAUGCACAGCACUUCCUGUAAUUUCUCAUUUGCCUCCUUCUCUGAGUACAUAUGGUGCACUUGACGAGCUUUGUAUCUGGCUUUUAUUUCUUUCCAAUCAAGUUGAAUGUCUUCCAUCCAACCUCGGCCCAGCAAGGAAGGACCCUCUCCUUUCACGACCACGAGGGGCAGUUUGGCUCUUUGCUUUUUGUACUUCACAUGGACAUGAGCUGCUCCAACAACUUUCACUGGAUCUCCUGUAUAGGUCUCCAACUUAAUCCCGACUUGUUUAAUGUGGGGAGUUUUCGUGUUUUUCCACAUUGUUUGAAAUGUCUUUUCAUUCAUUACGGUGAGACUGCAGCCUGUGUCAAUCUCAAAAUUAACUCUCUUCCCAUUCACUUUCAUGCUUUCCGUGUAUGGAUCCACUUUUCUUAGGUGUAUUUCACUCAUACGCCCUAGCUUAAACUUCAUACUUUGUAAUGCAAAAGUAUUUUCCUCUGAACUCUCAGAGUGGCUUUCUUCUGUUUGUUCUUUAACUUUAUGUGAACGAUAGCUUGAAUGAGACUUCUCAUUUUUCACAGUUCCUGAUUUUGCAUUUCCUUUGUUUGCCUUUAUUCUGACAAGCUCUAGCAAUAUGGCCAACUUUACCACAUGCAUGACAUUUUUCUUGUUUAAAUUUACAUUCUGCAGCAUUAUGUUGUCCUUUGCAACGAUAACACUCUUGAACACUGCUGCUCUUGAACGCGCUCCUCUGAUGCGUACCUUUGUGCAGCUUGAAGCACUUGGCUGUUGCACUUGGAUUCUGGAGGUCAUGUGCAUUUUUAUUUGCCGUUUCUGCCGCGACUGCAAUGGACAAGGCUUUUUCACACGUUAGAUCUGUCUCUACCAGAAGUCGUCUUUAAAUCCGGUCAUCAUUUAUUCCACAUACGAUCCUAUCUCUCAACUUCUGCUCCAGCGUGUUGCCAUAAUUACAGUCCUGUGCCAGCCUGCGCAGCUCUGCUACGUAUUCCAUCACUGAUUCAUUUGGCUUACGACUGCAAGAAUCAAACUUGUACCUCUGGACAAUUUCACUUGGUUUGGGGUCGAAGUGGUUUUUCAGCAACGUCACAAGUUGUUGUCUCUCUCACUUGUAGACAUGACCAGAGGAGCUAAACUGGACCCAGGAUUCACCUGGAGGCAGCAUAGACCUACGAACUGGAGCAGGUGGAAGCUGAAUUAGUGAGGAUGACUCCUGCUCCUGUCAUCUCUAAGCUCCUCACACAUCUUUACCUGCACAUGAGGAAAAUCACUCCUGUAGAAUGCAGAUGUUCAGAGGCAGAUGAUGCCACAUCUGGUCCAGCUGAUGGAAGGUCUUGAAGUUCUCUGACUGGCCUGGACUGAAGAUGGUCGUCUCACUGGAUUUAAGGUUCAGAUGCUGUUAUUUGUUUAGUCCAGACUAAAUGACAAAAAUCCACAACUGUAAUUAGUUUUUUUCCCUGUUAAAAGGGUGUUUUCCUGCCACUGUCACCUUAGGGCUGCUCUGGGGUUCAGGCAUAUGGGUUCUGUAAAGCGUCUCGAGACAAUUUUACUGUAAUUGGUGCUGUAUAAAUAAAAUUAAAUUGAAAAAUUUGAAUUGAAUUAAUUUUAUUUCAGGACUCGGUUAUUAAAUGUCAAAACAAUCCAUGUGACUCUAAAAACUCAACAGCUUUACAAACUCUAAGAUUAAACUCUCCACAAGGAUCCAAAAUAAGUUGGACUUCUACAUGAGAGCUUUAAUUAUUCUUCUACUUCCUGAAAAGUUUGGUCAGUAAAAAAGAAAAAAACUAAUGUUUUCAGCUGAACUAAAGACAGACUUUGUGAUUUUUCUGCUCACAUGUUGUGUUGUUGUAAACUUCCUCUUUUUAAUAAAUAUCCUCCUAACCCCCUGGAAACCAGCGUUUGUCUGUUUUUGUGUUGCUCCUCUGCGACCCUAGACAGCCAGGUCCUAAUGUUUUUGAGCAACACACCAUACUAUGACGUUUUUACAAUGAUGGUUCUACUAUGGAACCAGUUUGACAUGUUCAGGCGUUCUUUGUGUGAAAACUCAGAGAUUUCAGGGAUCAGAAGAUGGUUUUCAACUUUCUUUGUUAACUUUCUGCUUCAA